Musa acuminata AAA Group (dessert banana) is the source of this 3717-nucleotide long non-coding RNA. RefSeq lists it as uncharacterized. Lineage: Eukaryota; Viridiplantae; Streptophyta; Magnoliopsida; Zingiberales; Musaceae. The transcript has 3 exons. The record is from RefSeq and is a predicted model, not a curated record.
CAGCAAUUGUAGCAUCUGUAGUCGGUGAUAGCUAAUGCGUUGCUUGAAUCAUGCAAGAGCUUCACAUGAGAAGAAGAGAGCCAAAGGUAGCCAAGGACAAACUUGCCAGCAACUCGCAAACAAGGAGAUUUUGUUACAAGGCAAUGCCGGCAAGUCAUCCUUGGCUGCAUUCCACUCUCUGCCUCUUCAUGCAAAGCCCUCAGCAAGCAUCUUCAUUCCCUUAUUCCCCUCUAGCAGGUAUGCAGCCCUUUCCUCUCCAUAGCAGGUACGCAACCCUUUCCUCUCCAUAGCAUUCCAUCUUGCAACUUCUACUACGUGUUCUGGACAGAUGAAAGAGUUGGUAUAUAUAGGCCAGGGUAGUGUGUUGGUAAUUCAUGGAAUGUGCCUGAUCCUUCUGGUUCCUGUGGAUAGCCAAUGGGGUGAUACGGAGAGGAAUUCCCCAAAGUAUGUGAUACGCGCUGCCUAUUAGGAGAUAUUCCAAUUUUGGUAUUAUGCUGACUUGCUGAGGUCUCAAAAUGGACAAGUGGUCCAAUCUCCAUUACUCAUGGGAUUUUAGGCCUUAUAAGAAGGCUGUGAAGGUGGUCUGUGGGGGCGGUUUUCUUCUUGCGAUGUUUGGUAGGCUGUCAUGGGAAUAGAAUCAUGGGUGGAGGCCACACUGAGAUAUGGAGAGGGCUCAUGUGUGUCUCGUGAUUUCAAGGAUGAGUCAUAAGAUCCGCUUCUUAUUGACUCUGUCAAAUUUCAUAGCUUGCAUAAUUUGAAAGAGUGUUUCACUCCCUUUUCUGUACUAUUUUCUCCAGAUUUUAUGCAUUGAUUGGUUUAGUUGCCUUAAAUCUCAUAGGCUUCCUUAGUUGUCAUUGAGAAAACAUCUGAUGUAAGUGCCAUUGCUGCCAGGUCCUUUCUGUAGAUGCUUCUACCACAACCUACCAUCAAUGAGUUUGAUAUCCUUUUUUGCUUCCAGUCAUAUAAGAAUUCACAAUAAACUAUUAUAGGAGUUUUAUUAUUGGGUCAUUUUAGGACAUCUCAGGACAUCGUAGUUAAUUCCUUCAUUCCUUGGAAAGGUAAUAUAUACUUGAUAAUAAGGCGGGAGGUGACAGUGAUCAGUUCAUGAUUGGAAGGCCAAUUGUAGGAUUGAUCUGGUCAGGAAAUUCUUGUAGAAUUCUUGAUCAAUAAGAUUUUGAAUAAAUUGGAGAUCUGUCAUGGCUCAUCUGUAGUAUUUAGUCUUCCAUUUGUUUCGUCAGUGAAUAUGUUAUUUGGAUGGGCAUUUUUCUUGUCAGGUUGCGACUGAAGGGUGUCAUCCACUUGGUCCACUUGGACAAGUGGGAGGCUGAAUACCCCUUUGACAUUAAAGAGGGUCAUUGGAAAUACGUAAUUUAUUUCCACGAAUUUGAGCAUCUUUUUUCGUUAGAUCUCGUGGGACACAGUCCUUUCCCACAGGCUAUUUAGGUUCGUCCAAUAUAGAAUUGAUAAACCCUUUUUAUUGCUUGUCGAGGAAUCAGAUUCUAUCAAAUAUAAAGGUUAGGGCCAGAAGUCUCAAUCUCUGAGACGACUCUUUAACCUCCCACUUGCCUUAUUCUUUAACUCCAUUUCUUUUCGAGCUUGCCCCCUUUUUGGUGUUUUCUUCCAGUAAGAUUAGAGGACAAGGAGUCCAGCAUUUUAUAAUGCAUCUGUCAGCUAAAAUGUAUAUAUAUUAUAUAUAUUGAAAAAUGGAAUAGUUGUGUCCCUUAUAUCUUAGAUCUCGAUUUUUUUAAAAUGCAAUAUUUUUUAUUUCAAGAAAAAAAAAAAUACUACUCAGGUUAAUUCAUGAAUGGUUAUCUCGAUGAUGGAUGUUUAUAAAAUGUCAGAGUCGCAGAGUUAUGCAUCUUUUUGGCCCCAAUUCUGAAGAUUAAUUUGUGAAUUUGAUAUUCCAUACAAGCGCUGAAGACCUCUUGGUUUCGGAAUCAUCCUGCAAGUUACUUCUCAGAGAAGGCUAAUCAUCCGCCAGUGUGGCCACCAGCCUAAAUCAUUACAAAUAGGACAACACCUGCAAAAGAGGGAAACAGUAGAUCAUAUCCGUAACUUUGGUCGGGUUCACUGUCAAUGGUUCCUGUUCAUUGAAUUGCUCUGGUCACUGACGUAGUCAGGUCCUUCACAUGGCAGCAUAUAUUAUUACUGUGUUCUAUUUCCAAGUUGGUUCCGUACUAUUUCUUUAUUAUACGUGCAUGACAGCAUAUAUUACUUGUUAUUUCUUUAUUCUUCGGUGAAAGAAGCUUUUUUGGUGCAUCGACAAAAAUCUUUGCAUGGAAGUGCAGAGGAUAUGAUAGUUUAAAUUACUGGGCUUUCUGGUGUGCAGCUCAGCCAUUGGGCCUGUCGGCCACUCAAGUUGUACCUCGUGCGGGUGUGGUUCUUCUCUAGUUAGUGCGAUGAUGGGCUGGCCCUUCUCUUGCAGAGGAGAAUGGCUGGCCAAAUCUUGUGCUUGUUUUGAGGGCAUUUUGAGGGAGUCAAACGUUUUGAGCAUUAAGGAAGAACUUUAAUUUAAGGAUUAAAGGACAAUGCCAAAUCUUUUUAUCUCCCCUCUCCUUUCUGUGCAUAACCAAAAUCUCACAUUCCACCGGCUCUGCAAAAUUCCAUUGGCAUGUUUGUCCCAUUAGUUAUAGUCCAAAGCGUCGAGUAUCCUUAGAACCCCAUAACAGUGGCAGUACUCUCUCGGAGGUCACAAUCAAAUCUUAGUUUAUCGUCCUUCUCCUUUUGGCACUUUUUUGUUGUUGCACAGGAUUAGAAGGGAUGCUGUGGCUGGUAAUGUUGAAAUGUUUUACUGGUAAUGUUGAAAUGUUUUACGGUCCAGCCUCACAGGUUUAAUGGAAAGUAUAUGGCUUUUGAUACAAGCAGGUUGGUCCAAACCGUUCCAUCAGAUCAUGAGAAGUUCGAUCUCUAUGCAUGUCAAGCUACUUCAUCUUUGGGUAUACUUAUUCUCCUUUCCCUUUGUUCCAUAACUGUCUUGUUUUCUACCAAGCUGUAUGAUUUCCAUUCCUAUCUCUUGGUAUUGGACUACUGCUAGAGUUCCUCGAAUUCACUGGCCUCUCCCUCCUUUGAAGAAGACCAAGCCUCAGGUUUGCUUCUUACUUGAUAAUGUGAUAUUUUACGAAGAAAAUGUGAUGCAGAUGUAGAAAAUUUUGGCUCAAACCCUUCUUUUACUUUGGAGGGAUUUAAGCAACUGAGAACAAGUGAAGUCUGAUGGGUUGGAAAUAAUUCGGAAGUUCUAAUACUCUUCUGUACCAGGGUAAGCAAGGAUGUGGGAGGACCUUAGCGGAGUGCCACCGGUUACAGAAGCGCACGAUUGAGGGGGCCAAGUUCCACCUGUUCUCGCCUUCCACUGCCGCACUCUAGGCGGAGCUGCAGGACUGGCUUCUUGCCUCGGGGCCUGGUUCCAGGCCCAGCGGUGCUCGCCCGCUAACCCUUGAGGCCGGCCUCCAUCCCCCAGCCGUUCCGUCAACGGCGAUGAACGGGAUGGAGAUGUAACAGAUGUUCGCGUCGGUGGCGGCAGAGAGGGAGUAAUUAGAACCGGGACGGAGGAAGAAGCCAGACACGAAUGUGGCCGACGGUGGGAUUGGGCGAGAAUCAGGGCGAGUCAACGGGUGGUUUGACCAAUAGUGGCUACCGAGUUGGACGUUGUUUUAGCUUGACUCGGCCAUCAGAUUCAUGUAUAAAUGGCUGUGAUGGCAUUGGACAAAAUAUAAUUGA